Molecule: ribosomal RNA, 944 nt
Filed under: Escherichia coli
Lineage: Bacteria; Pseudomonadati; Pseudomonadota; Gammaproteobacteria; Enterobacterales; Enterobacteriaceae
Description: bacterial SSU rRNA
Rfam family: Bacterial small subunit ribosomal RNA
Source: RNAcentral
CCCCGGGCUCAACCUGGGAACGUCAUCUGAUAUGGGGAAGGUUGAGUCUCGUAGAGGGGGGUAGAAUUCCAGGUGUAGCGGUGAAAUGCGUAGAGAUCUGGAGGAAUACCGGUGGCGAAGGCGGCCCCCUGGACGAAGACUGACGCUCAGGUGCGAAAGCGUGGGGAGCAAACAGGAUUAGAUACCCUGGUAGUCCACGCCGUAAACGAUGUCGACUUGGAGGUUGUGCCCUUGAGGCGUGGCUUCCGGAGCUAACGCGUUAAGUCGACCGCCUGGGGAGUACGGCCGCAAGGUUAAAACUCAAAUGAAUUGACGGGGGCCCGCACAAGCGGUGGAGCAUGUGGUUUAAUUCGAUGCAACGCGAAGAACCUUACCUGGUCUUGACAUCCACAGAACUUUCCAGAGAUGGAUUGGUGCCUUCGGGAACUGUGAGACAGGUGCUGCAUGGCUGUCGUCAGCUCGUGUUGUGAAAUGUUGGGUUAAGUCCCGCAACGAGCGCAACCCUUAUCCUUUGUUGCCAGCGGUCCGGCCGGGAACUCAAAGGAGACUGCCAGUGAUAAACUGGAGGAAGGUGGGGAUGACGUCAAGUCAUCAUGGCCCUUACGACCAGGGCUACACACGUGCUACAAUGGCGCAUACAAAGAGAAGCGACCUCGCGAGAGCAAGCGGACCUCAUAAAGUGCGUCGUAGUCCGGAUUGGAGUCUGCAACUCGACUCCAUGAAGUCGGAAUCGCUAGUAAUCGUGGAUCAGAAUGCCACGGUGAAUACGUUCCCGGGCCUUGUACACACCGCCCGUCACACCAUGGGAGUGGGUUGCAAAAGAAGUAGGUAGCUUAACCUUCGGGAGGGCGCUUACCACUUUGUGAUUCAUGACUGGGGUGAAGUCGUAACAAGGUAACCGUAGGGGAACCUGCGGUUGGAUCACCUCCUUACCUUAAAGAAGC